GACGAACGCUGGCGGCGUGCCUAAUACAUGCAAGUAGAACGCUGAAGGAGGAGCUUGCUCUUCUGGAUGAGUUGCGAACGGGUGAGUAACGCGUAGGUAACCUGCCUGGUAGCGGGGGAUAACUAUUGGAAACGAUAGCUAAUACCGCAUAAGAGUAGAUGUUGCAUGACAUUUGCUUAAAAGGUGCAAUUGCAUCACUACCAGAUGGACCUGCGUUGUAUUAGCUAGUUGGUGGGGUAACGGCUCACCAAGGCGACGAUACAUAGCCGACCUGAGGGGGUGAUCGGCCACACUGGGACUGAGACACGGCCCAGACUCCUACGGGAGGCAGCAGUAGGGAAUCUUCGGCAAUGGACGGAAGUCUGACCGAGCAACGCCGCGUGAGUGAAGAAGGUUUUCGGAUCGUAAAGCUCUGUUGUAAGAGAAGAACGAGUGUGAGAGUGGAAAGUUCACACUGUGACGGUAUCUUACCAGAAAGGGACGGCUAACUACGUG
RNAcentral lists this ribosomal RNA (495 nucleotides) under uncultured bacterium. Its description in RNAcentral is "partial 16S ribosomal RNA". It matches the Rfam family "Bacterial small subunit ribosomal RNA", at positions 28 to 507 of the family's 1533-position model. The record is from RNAcentral.